This 885-nucleotide non-coding RNA is filed under the name Pongo abelii (Sumatran orangutan). Lineage: Eukaryota; Metazoa; Chordata; Mammalia; Primates; Hominidae. The record is from RNAcentral.
UCUGAAUAUAACUAACUUCCUUCCUUCCUUCCUUUCUUCCUUCCUUCCAUCCUUCCUCCCUCCCUCCCUCCCUGCUUUCCCUUCCUCCCUGCCUUCCUUCUUCCUUCCUCUCUUUUUUCUUUUCUCCCUUCCUUCCUUCUUAAUAUGUUUUUGGCCUUUUCUUUAUAUAUGUGGCCUAUCAAUAUCAUGUGUUUGGAAAAGCAUAAACUUAAGGCAUCACCUUUACAGAAAAUAUCUUCCAUGGAAACAUCUAAAGGCAAAAAUCCUUCAAAUUCAAAUUUAUCCAAUCAUUUCUUCUGCUUACUACCAUCCUAAAUCAUUUUUCUUUAGUAAGAUCUAUUAGUGUGAAGCUAUUAAGCUAUUAAUGUAAGUAUCAUAUUAAUGUAUUAAGAUAUUAAGUGAGGAAGUAAAGUUGCAUUCAUAGGCCUUGAACUUUUCCACAUCUCGAUUUUUACCCAUCAUCUCUGCAUAUUUUCCUAAGGCAGCCUUCAAAUGGUGAUGUUUCCUGUCAUCCAGAGUUCAGAAGUGCCUUCUCUUCAACCUUUCUGUGGAAUUCUAAACCACGUGAUAAAGGAGCUGGUGGCCACAGAUCAGCCCUGGGGUUCAGAGGGAUCCUGACGGCUACUCCUCAAGAUCCUCUCUGUUGUGAUUCAUCCCCCCCAGGCCCUACAGUUUCUCCUUCCUGACUCUUACAUUUCUUUGGAUGGCAUCACUAUUGCUGGAGUGCAGUGGUGUGAUCUCAGCUCACUGCAACCCCUGCCUCCUGGAUUCAAGCAAUUCUCCUGCCUCAGCCUCCCAAGUAGCUGGGAUUGCAGUACCUGUCUCCUCCCAUAGUUAGUUGCCAAGCACUGUGGAUUCUACCCCUCAGGGUCCAGACACCCAUUU